CACAUGACUCUCGGCAACGGAUAUCUCGGCUCUCGCAUCGAUGAAGAACGUAGCAAAAUGCGAUACCUGGUGUGAAUUGCAGAAUCCCGUGAACCAUCGAGUUUUUGAACGCAAGUUGCGCCCGAGGCCUUCUGGUCGAGGGCACGUCUGCCUGGGCGUCACGC
RNAcentral lists this ribosomal RNA (164 nucleotides) under Muhlenbergia emersleyi. RNAcentral describes it as "5.8S ribosomal RNA". It matches the Rfam family "5.8S ribosomal RNA". Rfam says of the family: 5.8S ribosomal RNA (5.8S rRNA) is a component of the large subunit of the eukaryotic ribosome. The record is from RNAcentral. Lineage: Eukaryota; Viridiplantae; Streptophyta; Magnoliopsida; Poales; Poaceae. RNAcentral also lists the same sequence under 28 other names.